RNAcentral lists this ribosomal RNA (253 nucleotides) under uncultured bacterium. RNAcentral's name for it is "partial 16S ribosomal RNA". It matches the Rfam family "Bacterial small subunit ribosomal RNA", at positions 524 to 776 of the family's 1533-position model. The record is from RNAcentral.
UACAGAGGAGCCAAGCGUUGUCCGGAUUGACUGGGCGUAAAGCGCACGCAGGCGGUCGCGCGCGUGGGGUGUGAAAUCUGGCCGCUUAACGGCCAGGCGCCAUCCCAUACGGCGCGACUGGAGUGAUGCAGAGGUCGGUGGAAUUGCCGGUGUAGUGGUGAAAUGCGCAGAUAUCAGGAAGAACACCCGUGGCGAAGGCGGCUCUCUGGUACGUGACUGACGCUGAGACGCGAAAGCGUGGGGAGCAAACAGG